CUUAACUUCAUUUAGCUUGUUUUUUUCAGCUGUAAAAUAAGGAUAUUACCACCCACCUAAGAGGACUGCUUUGAAAAAAGAAAAGAGACAAACACAAUACUGUCAUCUUCAAAUUAAACGAAGAGCACAGAACAAAGGAAAUCCCACCAAUUUUCUACCCCACUACUGAAAGAAAGCUUUCUGGAGACCACCAUCUUCAAACUGAGGGUAAAAGGGACUUUAAGAGACCGAUCUAGAUAAACACUCCAGAGUCAGAAUUGGCUGGCAGUGGUGGGAUCUGAAGCAAAUAUCUAUUGGCAUUUAGGAACAAUGAGAAACACAGCCAGAAGAACCUUGAAGGGCGGAGGACAUUCAUCCUUCCUGACAGUUGGCAUAAAGAGCAGGAUGUUUUAAACUCACUGGAUACCACUCUCCCCCAGCAUUGCUGCAGCAGAGAGAUCCUUGGGAAAUCUGACAUAUAGCCAGCAGAAGAUUGAAGGAAACUUUUCGCAAGCUAAUUGAUUUACAGCAAUUUGGAACAUUCAUCUCCAGCAUUCAGAAACCCAUUGAGUAUUCUCAGAGUCCACUCUCCUUUUAACAGGACACAUUGGGUAAAUUGGUUAUAUGAUCCAGGCUCUGACUGCAAUGUCCUAUUUUAGACACAGGUUUAUACAGACUCAGAUAUGACCAGACAGCUUUAAGGAUUUUAUGGAGCCUAUAAAGCCCCCUUGGAAAUAUCAGCCUGAUAACUAUUGCUUACGGAGUUCUCAGCAACUCUACCAGGUAAGAAAAGAAGAUCAUUUCCUGGCCAGUGCAGGAACCUAGAGAAAAGAAUUCACCCAAAUCUAUAGGUACUGCAGGUGAAGUUUGAUGGCAACUGACAAUUUACUCUGGAGAUUUCUUAUGAAUAGUUCCAGCAAAGCAGGUUUAAAGAGCUAUAUGGUCAACUGCUAUUCUUGCUGCACUUAUGUAAAUUAAUCAGGCCAUGUUCUUUUAAAACCAAACUUAUUUUGCAAACAAAUUAGUGUCAAUUUGGCUAUCUUUGGUAGAAAUGGUGAUUACAGAAAGAAAAACACACCUGUGUAUUAGAUUUUAAUACUACUAAUCAAAAACUGGACUAGAUCCAGAUUACCUCUAGUUUCCUCCAAUGACUAGCUACAACUCUCUAAACUCGUAUUUUCAGUUUUUCUCCUACCCUUCUGACUAGGAAUCAUUUGAGAACUAAAACUGCCCUCUUCCCUGAAGCCCUGCAAAGCAAAUAAAAACAACUUGAGGUAACCUUGAGAAAAAUCACACUACCUCCCAUCUAGACCCUCUGCAUCCCUGUUGUUCUAGGGGCCACUCAAAAGAUCAGAGAUAUGUGGACUCUAAACCAGGAAAAUCUGUCAGACUGUCACUUUUUACUCCCACUCCAGCUGAGGAUAUGUUCAGCUGGACAUCUAGAAGUCAGGACUGGCCACCCUCAAAACUCAAAACCUUUGAUCCAAUCCUUAACCAUUAUUUUCUUUUGUUCUGAUAGAAACAGAACACCUGAUUGAUGAUUUAUUUAAAUCACAGGCUCACUUUAAGAAUAUACCUGCAUCACGGACUCCUGAAGUGAGAUUAUUACUGAGCUGAUCUAUUGACAGUACUAAAAGACUGAUU
Molecule: long non-coding RNA, 1623 nt
Organism: Neogale vison (American mink)
Lineage: Eukaryota; Metazoa; Chordata; Mammalia; Carnivora; Mustelidae
Exons: 6
Source: RefSeq, a predicted model, not a curated record